AGGACGAACGCUGGCGGCGUGCUUAACACAUGCAAGUCGAGCGGAAAGGCCCUUCGGGGUACUCGAGCGGCGAACGGGUGAGUAACACGUGAGUAAUCUGCCCCUAGCUCUGGGAUAGCUCCGGGAAACCGGGAUUAAUACCAGAUACGACCACUUUAGACAUCUUCUGUGGUGGAAAGAACUUCGGCUAGGGAUGAACUCGCGGCCUAUCAGCUUGUUGGUGAGGUAACGGCUCACCAAGGCGACGACGGGUAGCCGGCCUGAGAGGGCGACCGGCCACACUGGGACUGAGACACGGCCCAGACUCCUACGGGAGGCAGCAGUGGGGAAUAUUGCGCAAUGGGCGAAAGCCUGACGCAGCGACGCCGCGUGGGGGAUGAAGGCCUUCGGGUUGUAAACCCUUUCAGCAGGGACGAAGCGAAAGUGACGGUACCUGCAGAAGAAGCGCCGGCUAACUACGUGCCAGCAGCCGC
This 473-nucleotide ribosomal RNA is filed under the name uncultured bacterium. RNAcentral's name for it is "SSU rRNA". It matches the Rfam family "Bacterial small subunit ribosomal RNA", at positions 26 to 518 of the family's 1533-position model. The record is from RNAcentral.